Gossypium raimondii (Peruvian cotton) is the source of this 1132-nucleotide long non-coding RNA. RefSeq lists it as uncharacterized. The transcript is spliced from 6 exons. The record is from RefSeq and is a predicted model, not a curated record. NCBI's taxonomy places the organism in Eukaryota, Viridiplantae, Streptophyta, Magnoliopsida, Malvales, Malvaceae.
CCCCUAAUUUCCCCCCUAAAACUCUUAACUUUGCAAAGACGCCGUCUCUCUUGCUUUCUCUCCCUCCCUCCCUCCCUCCCUCCCUGCGACAUUAUAAAAAAAAUCAACAUAUGCUGAUAAUGAUAAGAUUUACUGGUUUCCCAGGCAAAUACAAAGAGGUUACAACCAGUUUCUGGAUUAUUAUCGGCUUUACUAGUAAAACAUGUUACAGAGGUUACAUAGGUUACAGAGGUUACAACCAUUGCUGUACCUUUGAGAUUAUUGGGUUUUGAGGGACGAUAAUGGGGAAGUUAGAAGGAAGAUAUCAGCAGCGUCAGCCAGAGCUCACACCAGAAAAUCUCAUCAAAGCUCUUCUUUCAAGCUUUCUCCAGGUGAGGAAAGAAAAAUUAGGAGACAGAAUUACUGCACUUCACCAGUUUGUUUCACCAUUUGGGAAGAGUGCAAAGGAGAAGCAAUUCUUAUAUGAUAUUGUUGCAAAUGGUCAGAAUGGAAUUGAUGUGGAUAAAUAAGUGAAACUUAAUAUACAUGCUACACCACUUGCAGAUUCAUGGAGACUAUGCGAGUUUUGGAUGAUGAGAUCUGCUAUCUUGCUAAAGACUGUUAGUAUCAUCUAUUUCAUUUACUUGCAAAAUACAUGUUUAGUUCUUUUAGUGUUUUUUUACUCCUCCUUAAUAACGGUAAUGGGUGCUCUUGCUAGAUCUUAGUAUCCACAGGUUAUUUGCUACUCGUGCUGAUCUUUAUCGAACUGUGUACACCCACUCUAAAGUGAAGUUGUGUAGGCGUCUUAUCUUAAGUGGUGAGGUCUGAUUUCAUUUUUAUUCAGGAUCCUUGUGAGUACUGGAAGCUAGAUGACACAAUAAUCAAAACCAUCGAGACAGCACCAGAUAAAGAACUCUGAGAAUCUAGAGAUCUGAUUCUGCACAUUCGUAGGAGAAAUUUGUAUCAGGUGGAAAACCUUUGCAUACUUUCACUUCAUUUUUGUGUUUUGAUCAUGAUAGCAUGCAAACAAACAUGCUAUUAUUUUUUUUUAUAAAAUGUGAAAGACGAAACUUACUGUAUAGUGUGUUAUUUUCUGUGUUAGUUCUGUAACCAAGAUUUCCUUGAUUAAGAAAAUGCAUUGUAUAUUUUAUUA